UGUGUGUCCCACGUCUGAUGGGUUUGCUCUGUUUUUUUUUGCUCUUCCUGAACACCUCUGCAGAGCUGGUGGCCGUCCUGCUGCAGGGAGCCCUGCUUGUGCAGAGCGGUGCUAACAGAGGAUUAAUGGUUAAUCGCUUGUUCAUGGAGGGUUAUAAACAACCUGUCGGGCUCUUUAACACCUUUUGCUGAUGUGCUCAUUGCCCUUCAUAACACAUUCCUGUCUGUCUGAUGCAACCUUGUAACCUCUAUUAAUCACUCGUUAGCUCCUGCCGCCCAAUGCGACUUGGGUGGUGCUCAGCAGCCCAUGCUCCUCACCUGUGGGUCGAGGUUUCCAAAGUGCUCAUAGGAUCCAGCAAGGAAGGAGGGAAGGUGGACCUGAGAGGCUCACAUUCAGUGCUGCACCGUGGAUGGAUGGAUGGAGCCUGAUGGGGAUGCAGGAGCUGCUGGAAGAGGUUUUUGGGCAGGUGUGGAGGAAGCCUUCUGUGUUGGCCCCACUGAGUUAUGGGGAUGCAGUGCUGGAGGUCCAUAGAGUAGCUGGGAGGUUGGCUGCUGUGCUGUUGGUGCUGUGCUCUCCCCUGCUGCUGUUUGGGAUGUGGCAUUGCCUGUCCUGCCUGGCUGAGCAAACACUACUGGGAUAUUACCUGUCUGUUAACCUGUCAGCUCUGGUUUGCAGCUCUGUUUAAUCUUUGCUGGUGGAAUUUCCCCUGCAGUUUCUGCCUCCCCCCCCGCUGUCCCCUUCCCACGAUUGGGGUAAUUAAAUAUUGCCUGAGUCCUGUCGCUUAAUGACCCGCUUGUUUGCCAACAGGAGAUAACCUGAUGUUUGCUCUCUGCAGACCAAGGACAUGGACAGCUCGUGCCCAGACAGGGCAUGUGACCGAGCCCUGGGGUGACACUGCAGCAGGGUGGUCCCUGGGGAUGGCUGGCAGAGCUUUUCCCAUGGGUCCCAGCCAGCUCCUGCUGCUGGCAUUGGGAAGGGAUGUGCCUGCAGCAGCCUGUCCCCUUCAGAUGGAGCUCUGUUAGUGUGGGAUACUGGCACAGCUGCCCAGAGAGUGGUGGGGUCACUAUCCCUGUAGGCACUCCAGAAUUGCAGGGAUGUGGCACUGAGGGAUGUAGUUAUGGGCACAGUGGGAUGGGUUGAGCUUGGGGAUCUUAGAGGCCUUUUCCAAUCUUGUUUAUCCUAUGAUUCUAAGCCUUAUGAUUUGGUUGAAUCAUGAGGUUGUUGGGGAGCUGCUGUGCUCCUGGGUCUGUUUAAAGUGCUCUGUGCUUGGGCAGCAUGGAGAGAUCUGCAGAGCUGCUGCUUUGAGCUAAAGGAAAGGGAGUCUGAAGUCCUGGAGGCCCAGGCUCAGCAUGCCCAGGAGGUGGGGUUUCCCUUGCAAAGGGUUUGGGAUUCUGCUGGCACAAUGAGCCAUAUGUGUGUUGGAUUCAAUACGUAUUUAAAGCUGUCUGUGGAAGCCAACCUUCUUAAGCCAGAAACAAAGUUCUCUAGUGGAAAAGCUCAGAAGGAAGAAAACUCCCAAACUGUGAUUUUUGGAUACUCUUUAAUUUUAGGGCUUUGGAGUCUAAUUUCUGCAUUUCUCCAAGGUUACUGUGUUAUAAAUUAAAAUUGCUGCAGAACGGAGUGCUGUUGCCAGAGCUCUCCAAGUCUGGAUGACGCUUGGCUGCAGAUGUCCUUGCUUCACCUUUCUGCAGACGAGAGAGGAAAGUGUUCACACUUGGCUGGAGAAAAGCAUGUAAAGGAGGGAAGGAGGACCGCCCUGCAAAACCCAUCACGUAGGCGUGAGUGUGGCGCUGGGGCUGAGCUCAGUAAGAGGCGUUGAUGGCACUGGGGCACCAUUUGGUGUGGAGCAUCCCAGGGUGGAUGUGGCUGGAGGAAGCUUUGCUUUGGUUGGGAUCUUGAUGCCAAAGACUUCCUGGGUCCUGUGACCGUAGGGUGAUGUCGCAGCACUCUGCAUCUCUCUGAGCAGAAGUGAUGCCAAUUUCUGCUACUUGGUGUUUAGCACCUGGUUACUGGGAAGGCAGAGAGCAAGCAGAGGUGCUGCUUGUCUUGGGGGAAGGUGAUGUGUCCCAUCAGAGGUGUCCAGAAUCUUUGCCACCCCAAGCAGCAGCUGUUGGUCUGGGCAGUGCUGGAACAGGCUGCAGGGCUGCUCUGGUGUACCAUCCUCCUGCCCUCCCUCCCCAAAUCUCUCUAGUUUUCUAUUUUUUUCAGCAGCAGGUUCUGUCUGGAGCUGGUUUAGAGGAUUAAGAUCCCUGAGUACGUGCCGCUCUGGUGCGGUAUGGGGUAUGGGAAGGCUGCACGCCAGGCUGCCUGCCCUAUAACAGCUCAUGACUGGGGACAGAGAGCUGUGGGGUUGCUCUUGCCCUAAGCCACGUGAGCAGCCUGGCUGGCACUGUAUGAUUAAAUUAGUUUCUAGGAGAACAAAUCCAGGAUUAGAGGAGCCAUUUGCCGUGCUGAAAGCGGAGCCCUGCUAAUUAGGUUUAUGGCCAGCAGUGGAGGCUUGAGGUGCACCUGAGAGGAGAGAGCUGAGGCGCUGCAGCAGGAACAGCCACCAGCACAUUGCCGCAGACAGGAGGAAGGAAGAGCAGAGGCAGCACAGUGCCCAGCACCCUCAGGGAUCGGGGUGCACCCAGGGUCAUUCUGUGCUCCUUCCCCCAGUGCUGUCAUGGGAAUGACCCCAGUGCAGCCACCCACCACCACUUGCUGUGAUUCAGGGUCCUGAGCUGACCUCGCUAUGCUGCACCCACGCAGGGCAGGGAUGGCCGAAUUACUGCUCCCUGCUGCGCUCUGCACAUCCUUCUCCUGGCUGGGUGGCCCCAGGAUCUGUGGGGCUGGAUGGCUGUGUGCUCUCAGGUCAAACAGUAGCUCCAUUUUUUCCCUUCUGAAGGACCAAAAGCUUACCCUGUUCCAAGGAAUUAGCUGUGGAUUUUUAUUUUAUUUUAUUUUUUCCCUCUUCUGUUCUUCUUUCUGAAUCUUUUUGGGGUUUUGGGCUCUUAAUGAGGAUGCUCGGACCAGCACUGAGUGUAGCCCUAUGCAGAGGGGUGAACACCCCUGGAGAAGCAAUGGGAGCAGCAUACCAAGAGCUGGCCUCCACAAUGCCUUGGGUCUGAAACUGUCUGAGAGCUGUGUCCCUUCACAUCGCAUGGCUGCGUCCUCCCCAGCACAUCCCAUAGGGAUUAGGUGGGAUUCUGGGGGGCGCGUGGCCAAACCACACUGAGGGGAACGUCAAGAAGGGGGGAAAAUGUCACCCUCAGAAACAAUUAAACUGCUUAAUAAAAUCCGUUGCCUCUCAGAG
Non-coding RNA from Coturnix japonica (Japanese quail), 3292 nucleotides. Lineage: Eukaryota; Metazoa; Chordata; Aves; Galliformes; Phasianidae. The record is from RefSeq and is a predicted model, not a curated record.